ACUGAGGUCUAUCCCGACUGAUUCCUCACAGUAGAGUCAUGUCGUUGGAAACGCCUCAAAGAUUAAUUUUGUUGUAUUGCUUUACCCAUAUUGCUACUUCCGUUAACUUUGUGGGCAAAUGCUACAAGACAAUU
Astyanax mexicanus (Mexican tetra) is the source of this 134-nucleotide small nucleolar RNA. Lineage: Eukaryota; Metazoa; Chordata; Actinopteri; Characiformes; Acestrorhamphidae. The record is from Ensembl.